GGACCCGCACAAGCGGUGGAUCAUGUGGUUUAAUUCGAAGAUACGCGAAGAACCUUACCGGCCCUUGACAUACCAAUCGCGGACUUAAGAAAUUAAGUCUUUCACUUCGGGUGGAUUGGAUACAGGUGCUGCAUGGCUGUCGUCAGCUCGUGUCGUGAGAUGUUGGGUUAAGUCCCGCAACGAGCGCAACCCUUACCUUCAAUUGCCAGCACAUUAUGGUGGGAACUUUGAAGGAACUGCCGGUGAUAAGCCGGAGGAAGGUGGGGAUGACGUCAAGUCCUCAUGGCCCUUACGGGCCGGGCUACACACGUGAUACAAUGGUAACUACAAAGGGCAGCGAAGGAGCGAUCUGGAGCAAAUCUCAAAAAGUUACCUCAGUUCGGAUUGCACUCUGCAACUCGAGUGCAUGAAGUUGGAAUCGCUAGUAAUCG
RNAcentral lists this ribosomal RNA (431 nucleotides) under uncultured bacterium. Its description in RNAcentral is "bacterial SSU rRNA". It matches the Rfam family "Bacterial small subunit ribosomal RNA", at positions 917 to 1344 of the family's 1533-position model. The record is from RNAcentral.